RNAcentral lists this ribosomal RNA (572 nucleotides) under Saccharomyces cerevisiae (brewer's yeast). Its description in RNAcentral is "partial 26S ribosomal RNA". It matches the Rfam family "Eukaryotic large subunit ribosomal RNA", at positions 68 to 658 of the family's 3401-position model. The record is from RNAcentral. Lineage: Eukaryota; Fungi; Ascomycota; Saccharomycetes; Saccharomycetales; Saccharomycetaceae.
ACUGGGAUGCUUAGUACGGCGAGUGAGCGGCAAAAGCUCAAAUUUGAAAUCUGGUACCUUCGGUGCCCGAGUUGUAAUUUGGAGAGGGCAACUUUGGGGCCGUUCCUUGUCUAUGUUCCUUGGAACAGGACGUCAUAGAGGGUGAGAAUCCCGUGUGGCGAGGAGUGCGGUUCUUUGUAAAGUGCCUUCGAAGAGUCGAGUUGUUUGGGAAUGCAGCUCUAAGUGGGUGGUAAAUUCCAUCUAAAGCUAAAUAUUGGCGAGAGACCGAUAGCGAACAAGUACAGUGAUGGAAAGAUGAAAAGAACUUUGAAAAGAGAGUGAAAAAGUACGUGAAAUUGUUGAAAGGGAAGGGCAUUUGAUCAGACAUGGUGUUUUGUGCCCUCUGCUCCUUGUGGGUAGGGGAAUCUCGCAUUUCACUGGGCCAGCAUCAGUUUUGGUGGCAGGAUAAAUCCAUAGGAAUGUAGCUUGCCUCGGUAAGUAUUAUAGCCUGUGGGAAUACUGCCAGCUGGGACUGAGGACUGCGACGUAAGUCAAGGAUGCUGGCAUAAUGGUUAUAUGCCGCCCGUCUUGAA